GCGGGGAUGCCGGAGCGGUCAAACGGGAUGCGCUCAAGACGCAUUGGCUUAGUGCCUACGCAGGUUCGAAUCCUGUUCCCCGCA
This 84-nucleotide transfer RNA is filed under the name Nanobdellota archaeon. Its description in RNAcentral is "tRNA-Leu". It matches the Rfam family "tRNA". From Rfam's summary of the family: Transfer RNA (tRNA) molecules are approximately 80 nucleotides in length. Their secondary structure includes four short double-helical elements and three loops (D, anti-codon, and T loops). RNAcentral also lists the same sequence under 1 other name. Lineage: Archaea; Nanobdellati; Nanobdellota. The record is from RNAcentral.